Molecule: long non-coding RNA, 394 nt
Filed under: Capsicum annuum
Lineage: Eukaryota; Viridiplantae; Streptophyta; Magnoliopsida; Solanales; Solanaceae
Description: long non-coding RNA (CANN_LNC021915)
Source: RNAcentral
UCGACCUAAACAAGGACUAUUUCACUUUAACUCUCUCGAGCUUAAAGCGUGACUAACGGUACGAAUUCUCCAAGAAGUUAGUCCAGGUACGGCACUAGCUUUUAAAGUGUGUCCUACUCCCUUGACAUUAUCUCUUUUCCAGACAAAUAACUUUUCUCUCGAACAAGUCAGAUGUUAGACUGGCGUUGGUCUAUGCGUCUUCUUUUCUAGACAAAUAACCUUUCUCUCGAACAGGUUAGAUGUUAGAAUGGCGUGUUCUUGUGUUUGAACCGCAAAGAAUGUAGAUUUAAGAUGAAGAGAAUAAUGAUAUAAGCAAUAUACUUGUCUUGAACUCACAAACUCAUAGCUAUAGAUAGUAACUCAUUCGGCUUCCAUAACCCCAACUAAGAGAUUU